GACUUUGAUCAUGGCUCAGGAUGAACGCUAGCUACAGGCUUAACACAUGCAAGUCGAGGGGCAGCAUAUCGGUAGCUUGCUACUGGUGAUGGCGACCGGCGCACGGGUGAGUAACGCGUAUCCAACCUUCCCAUGACUGGGGAAUAACCUUGCGAAAGUAAGACUAAUACCCCAUGGUUUCCGAGGCGGACAUCCAAUUUGGAAUAAAGAUUCAUCGGUCAUGGAUGGGGAUGCGUCUGAUUAGCUUGUUGGCGGGGUAACGGCCCACCAAGGCGACGAUCAGUAGGGGUUCUGAGAGGAAGGUCCCCCACAUUGGAACUGAGACACGGUCCAAACUCCUACGGGAGGCAGCAGUGAGGAAUAUUGGUCAAUGGACGAGAGUCUGAACCAGCCAAGUAGCGUGCAGGAUGACGGCCCUAUGGGUUGUAAACUGCUUUUAUACGGGAAUAAAGUCAAUCACGUGUGAUUGUUUGUAUGUACCGUAUGAAUAAGGACCGGCUAAUUCCGUGCCAGCAGCCGCGGUAAUACGGAAGGUCCGGGCGUUAUCCGGAUUUAUUGGGUUUAAAGGGAGCGUAGGCCGCCGAUUAAGCGUGUUGUGAAAUGCCGCAGCUCAACUGUGGCACUGCAGCGCGAACUGGUUGGCUUGAGUGCGCGGAAGGCAGGCGGAAUUUGUGGUGUAGCGGUGAAAUGCUUAGAUAUCACGAAGAACCCCGAUUGCGAAGGCAGCUUGCCGCAGCGUAACUGACGCUGAAGCUCGAAAGUGCGGGUAUCGAACAGGAUUAGAUACCCUGGUAGUCCGCACGGUAAACGAUGGAUGCCCGCUGUUCCGGCUAUAUGUUGGAGUGGCCAAGCGAAAGCGUUAAGCAUCCCACCUGGGGAGUACGCCGGCAACGGUGCAACUCAAAUGAAUUGACGGA
RNAcentral lists this ribosomal RNA (917 nucleotides) under uncultured Bacteroidota bacterium. RNAcentral's name for it is "bacterial SSU rRNA". It matches the Rfam family "Bacterial small subunit ribosomal RNA", at positions 9 to 917 of the family's 1533-position model. The record is from RNAcentral. Lineage: Bacteria; Pseudomonadati; Bacteroidota.